Dendrobium catenatum is the source of this 1708-nucleotide long non-coding RNA. RefSeq lists it as uncharacterized. The transcript is spliced from 2 exons. NCBI's taxonomy places the organism in Eukaryota, Viridiplantae, Streptophyta, Magnoliopsida, Asparagales, Orchidaceae. The record is from RefSeq and is a predicted model, not a curated record.
UUUUAUUUCUCUAUCGUCGUCCAUGCAUGCUUUUGUAAGCUAGGUGGCUCGUCUUCGCCAUCGUUAACUUUGAAAAUGCCUGUUUUACUACGCUUGCUAUCGUGGACGAAAAUAUGUUAAAAAACUAGCCAAAGCCCUUCGGAAUGGUUCUUAUCACUAGCGUUCCCUCGCCAGGGUUUCUUUAUAGCUAGGGUUUCCCGAUUACUGGAGUUUCUUGCUGACCAGGGUAUCUUGAACAUUCUUCUGGGCCGUCUUACUUUCGUGUUUCUAUUUUUAACUAUAAGUUUUUUCAGCAUCCAUUUUUUAAGUUGGCGUUCACAAGUCUGUAUCAUUGCAUUUUGGAAUUGCUUCAAGGAUAUUAAAAACCUGUCUGGUUUAGUGUUCUUGUUUACGCUCAGUUUCUGACAUAUCUGGUUUCUAGUUUUGUCAAGUAGUAGAGAUUCUACGAUAGCCAGCACAGCUAUUUCUCUGUUGUCUCCCAGCCUGCUGCUGGGGAAGGCUCUCACAACAUAAAUGGUCAAGGGGAAGUUUCUAGGCUCAUGUGUAAUCCACGUCAAAGUGAAAUAAUACUAUAUCAAAAUUAAAACAUGAGUUCAAUUCCUUGCAUGCUAAUAGUGGCGCUGCGCCCUUACCCAAAUGCUCUAUUUAGGAGUGUAAAUGAGCCGAGCCAGCUUGCGAGCUAGCUCGAGCUCAACUCGUUUAUGGGCUUGCGAGCCGAGCUUAUCGAGCUCACGAGUCGAACUCGAGCUUAAAUUCGAGCUUGUUUAUUAACCCAGCUUGAGUUCGAGCUUGAUUGAGGCUCGGCUCUCAAGCUCACGAGUCGGCUCGAUUCACUAUUAUGAUUUUUAAAAUAUUUUUUAUUUUUAAAAUACCCGGCUAAUCAGCCUAAUACCAGCCUAAUAAAAGCGUAAUAAUAGCCUAAUCUUGCCUACUUGAGGCGGACAACGCUCGAGCCUCGAGGUGCUCGCGCCAGUCGCGUGGCUCGAGGAGGUCGCGUCAAUCGGCGGCUCAAGCUUGGACGGCGGGACGACGCGGAUGACACGUAAGCGGAUCGGCGAAUUCGACUCGGAUGACGCGUAAGCAAAUGGAUGACGUAGACAUUGACGGCGGGGCGAUGUAGACGCGGAGGCUAGACGAGCGGCUCGAACUCAUUUACAAUGGAAUGAGUCGAGCUCAACUCGAGCUUGCUUUCAGAUUGAUGAGCUAAGCUCGAUUAUGUCAAAACUCAACUCAUUUACACACCUAGCUCUAUUCACGCAAAGCUCCGUAAAACUACAUUGAGCUAGAACCCCAGUUUCUUCUAUUUAUUCCAGCUGAGGCGUGCCUGCAUUCUCAACACGUUGCUUAAUUUUGCCGUUACAGUAGUUUUGGUUUGUUUUGUUCACAAUUUAGGUAUGCCAUACAUAAAAUUCAUUUGGAUUUUCAGCACUUGUGAUUUACGGGCAGUUACAGACUAAAAAGGUCAUUUCUUACGCGCGUUGGGAUUCACACAAGUUCUCUUUACAUGUAAUGAUGACCUUUUAACUUGUUGCUGGUGAUCUUAGUUUCAGUUUCAUAUGUGAGAAUUUGGUCAUUGUGUUAAUUGUUCCAUGUUGGAGGAUUAUAUACGAUGAUUCAACUAUACUUUUAACAGGUUUGCAUAUCUUUUUUGUUGUAAAAUUUCUAAAAAAUGUGAUACUUAUUUGAUUUCCUUAAGAGUUUAUAGUCA